CAUGCGUUGCCCUAGUACGGCGAGUGAAGCGGCAACAGCUCAAAUUUGAAAGCUAGCCUUCGGGUUCGCAUUGUAAUUUGUAGAGGAUGAUUUGGGGAAGCCGCCUGUCUAAGUUCCUUGGAACAGGACGUCAUAGAGGGUGAGAAUCCCGUAUGUGACAGGAAAUGGCACCCUAUGUAAAUCUCCUUCGACGAGUCGAGUUGUUUGGGAAUGCAGCUCUAAAUGGGAGGUAAAUUUCUUCUAAAGCUAAAUAUUGGCGAGAGACCGAUAGCGCACAAGUAGAGUGAUCGAAAGAUGAAAAGCACUUUGGAAAGAGAGUUAAAAAGCACGUGAAAUUGUUGAAAGGGAAGCGCUUGCAAUCAGACUUGUUUAAACUGUUCGGCCGGUCUUCUGACCGGUUUACUCAGUUUGGACAGGCCAGCAUCAGUUUCGGCGGCCGGAUAAAGGCUCUGGGAAUGUGGCCUCCACUUCGGUGGAGGUGUUAUAGCCCAGGGUGUAAUACGGCCAGCCGGGACUGAGGUCCGCGCUUCGGCUAGGAUGCUGGCGUAAUGGUUGUAAGCGACCCGUCUUAACCCCGGACCCAAUUACCUAAUUCGAAAAUCUCUGUGGGCUGCCACAACUACGAAGUAAGGUAGACACAAAAAGCAAU
RNAcentral lists this ribosomal RNA (649 nucleotides) under Aureobasidium pullulans. RNAcentral describes it as "eukaryotic LSU rRNA". The stretch from base 1 to 578 matches the Rfam family "Eukaryotic large subunit ribosomal RNA", at positions 69 to 664 of the family's 3401-position model. The record is from RNAcentral. Lineage: Eukaryota; Fungi; Ascomycota; Dothideomycetes; Dothideales; Saccotheciaceae.